AAAGCAUCUUAUAAACUUUGUGAGGCUUUGGCUUUGCUCUCUACAAAGGAAAACUUGGGAAAAACUUCACUUAGGAAAUUUUCUUAACUUUUCCAAGUCCACAACUGACACCAGUACUGAACAGCUCUGCAAGUUAUAAUCCUACUAAUUAUAAGAAUGAAAGGUGUUUCAUCAAAUCAGCAAAAGCUUAAUGAUACUUACUUGGAAGGCCAAGUCAAAAAACCCCCCACAAACAUCACAUUGAAACGUCCUGUAGAGACAGCCCAUGCAAACAGGUUUAUGAGGUUGGAUUGUCAAGGGAAGGGCGCUCAGCACCUGUAACUCGAGG
This 328-nucleotide long non-coding RNA is filed under the name Bos taurus (domestic cattle). RNAcentral's name for it is "long non-coding RNA NONBTAT009696". Lineage: Eukaryota; Metazoa; Chordata; Mammalia; Artiodactyla; Bovidae. The record is from RNAcentral.